UAUCAUCAUCAUCAUUUUUUUAAAAAAGUGAUUGCUGUUCAUUAACUAGUUUCCUCUAGAGCAGGAGUCCCCAGCCCCUGGGCCAUGGACUAGUACCGGUCUGUGGCCUACUAGAAACUGGGCCACACAGCAGGAGGUGAGUGGCAGGCCAGCGAGCGAAGCUUCAUCUGUAUUUACAGCCCUCCGCAUCGCUCGUGUUACCGCCUGAGCUCUGCCUCCUGUCAGAUCAGUGGCAGCAUUAGAUUCUCAUAAGAGCGUGAACCCUACUAUGAACUGCGCAGGCGAGGGAUCUAGGUUGUGCGCUUCUUAUGAGAAUCUAACGCCUGAUGAUCCGAGGUGGAGCUGAGGCAGUGAUGCUAGCGCUGGGGAGCGGCUGCAAAUACAGAUUAUCAUUAGCAGAGAGGUUUGACUGCACAGAGACCAUAAUAAAUCAAUUGCUUGCAGACUCAUAUCAAAGCCCUAUCAGUGGGCUUCGCUGGUGGCGCAGUGGUUGAGAAUCUGCCUGCUAAUGCAGGGGACACGGGCUCGAGCCCUGGUCUGGGAAGAUCCCACAUGCCGCAGAGCAACUAGGCCCGUGAGCCACAACUACUGAGCCUGCGCGUCUGGAGCCUGUGCUCUGCAACAAGAGAAGCCGCGAUAGUGAGAGGCCCGCGCACCGCGAUGAAGAGUGGCCCCUACUUGCCGCAACUAGAGAAAGCCCUCGCACAGAAACGAAGACCCAACACAGCCAAAAAUAAAAAUAAAUAAAUUAAAAGAAGGCUCAACAUUUAAAAAACAAAAACAAAACAAAACACCCUAUCAGUGAGUGGCAAGUGACAAUUAAGCUGCAUCUUACCUAGUAGACUGGACAUAAGCAACACACUUCUGGUGUCACUGUAUCGCAUCACCCCCCAGAUGGGACCAUCUAGUUGCAGGAAAAUAAGCUCAGAGCUCCCACUGAUCUUGCAUUAUGGUGAGUUGUAUAAUUAUUUCAUUAUAUAUUACAAUGUAAUAAUAAUAGAAAUAAAGUGAACAAUAAAUAUAAUGCACUUGAAUCAUCCAGAAACCAUUUCCUGCCACCCGCCAUCCCCCUCCGUCUGUGGAAAAAUUGUCUUCCACGUAACCGGUCCCUGGUGCCAAAAAAGGUUAGGACCGCUGCUCUAGAGGGAGCAGAGUACUUCUCAGUUCUGCCACUAGAGGGCAGCAGAGCCCUGGACUGGGACCCAGAGGUCCUGAGGGUGGUGCCCUGCUCUCUUCUCACAUCCUUGGGUCUUGAGCCCUCCUGAUGCUUAGCUGUGUGCUGGAGGGUAGGAGCACAGAGCAGCGGGCUGGCCAGGGGGCAAGAGAUGGCACAGCCUUUGGGAAAUAGGAGCACAUGCCCAGUCCUGACUUCAGUUCUGAGAGGAAAACGUCUGACAAGCAAGAUGGUGGUUGGUCGUGACACCCUCCUCCAGGAAGCUCCCCGCUGACUCCCGGGCUGGGUCAGGAGCCCUCUUCUUGCCCCCAUAGCCCUGGAAUCCACGGCAUCAGCAUCACAGGGUACGUCACCUUCUCUAUGCUCCCUUUGGACGGUCGGCACCUCGAGGGCCGUGCACUCUGACUCCUUCAGGGGUCCCAGCAUGGGCCGAGCACUCAGGGGUGCUUAAGGCUUAUUGAAUACAUGUAUGUGGGCAGCGGGUGUCUGAGCUGGGUUCAGAGCCCCUUCCUUCUGAGACUGCCCCGAAGGUGGAGCGAAGGGGAAGGGAGAAUUCCUAAGACUGAAAGAUGCUUAUCUCCAGAGGCUCCGGAGACCACCCACUUGGCCCUGGGAUGUCUGAAUCUUUAUGCCAAGGUCUUGGCUGCACAAUGCGACCAUAAAAUCACCCCCACCAGAUCUUUCAAAGGAGGAAACAGAGGCUCAGAGAGAGGAAGUGAGGUCACACAGCAAAUAAGAAGCAGAGCCUCUUUGAACCCAGACCCACCCGACCCAGGGCCUACUCCCUGAAGUCCUUUGCUCUAACAACCACCCUCUCCCAGCUCUGCAGCAGUUCCCAACUCAGGAAGCCCAUGCAUGUCCGCCAGUCACCACGGUGCUCACAGCAGCCCUGCAAGGUGCCUCCCUCCUGGACACCCCCGCCGAGGCUGCUGGUUUCCAGGAAAAGGCCGACGCAAUCGCUGAGUCAACGGAUUGAGGCUGGUAUCACCCUGGCAGCUCUACGAGAUGAACCUGUUGCUUCCAGAGCCCAGCAGGGCCUGCCCAGGAUCCCCGGACCUGGCCAGGUUCCCGCUACCCACCCUGCACCAUUGUUCCUACCUGGCAACCAGCCCUGCCUCUCUCGCUCUCCUUCUCUCCUGCCCCAGCCUCUAGCCCAAACAUCACGUCAUGCCCCGAACCAGCCUCUCUCCAACUUCCCAGAUGCCAGACUUGCUCGCUCUGCAGUAGGAGGGGGUGUCAGGAGACCUGGGUGUGAAUUCCGGGACCACACCUACCGGCUCUGUAACCUUGGGCAAGUCCUUUUACCUCUCUGAGCCUCAGUUUCCUCACUGAUGAGAUGCAGGUUGUCACCCCACUGGGCCUUACUGUUCAAAGGAUAGAAGGGGCCCAGGGGGUGCCGGCAGGCAAGAGGUGUUCAGGGAAUUAAUGGCUUUUACAGACUCUCCUCCAGCAUGACCUGUUUUCCCAGGGCCUGUGGGGGAGAAGGGAGCUGUGGAAUCUUCUGCUCGCCCACCUCACAUCCAUCAGCAUCAAUCAUUGUGCUCAUCAUACAGCUCCCUGGUUCACUGGUGAAAUGGGUUCGAGCUUCCCACCUGAGUCUCCCACCUGAGCCGGCUCUGAGUUCCUGGCAUUAGCAGAGCCUGAGGUGUGGGCAGGGAAUGGACACGGCCAGAGGCCACCAUCUGGGCGAGGUCAGGACUUGGAAGAAUCCAGCCUGUCCAAGAGGAGAGCAGACAAGACUGCCUUGUGGGGGGAUUCGGAGGGGAGGCCUGGUCCUCUCCGGGGCAGCUCCAGGUGAUGGCCCCCGGCCAAGGAGCCCAUGCUGUAGGCGUAGUGCCCACACCCUGGUUCUGGUGUAGCACGGCACCCCUGCUCCAGACAGCGUCUUCUUGUUUUUUUUGGGUUUGGGAGGAAUUAGUGAAGUUGUUCUGUAAUUAGCAGUGGGGUGGGCACCAUCCAGGACUCGCAAGGGGGGCUGGGAAAGAAGGGGAGAGAGGCUGGGGACCAGGAUUGCUCAACAAAUGACCGGUGAAGCGGGAGGAGUGGGAAGGGAGUGGUGGAUUGAGUAGAGUGAAUCAGUGAAUGAAUAAGUGAGUGAGUGAAUUAAUGAAUAAGUGAGUGAGUGAAUUAAUGAAUAAGCUAGUGCCUAAACAAUAUUAGCAAACACUUAGGUAGCUCUCGCUACAUGCCUGGCGUUGUUCUAAGCCCUUUCCUUGUCUGUACUAACUCAGUCAUCACAAAAGUAAGCUGUCUUACUACCUCCAUUUCAUGGAGGCACAGAGAAGUUAAGUAACUUACCCCAAGUCAUACAGAUGGUAAGUGACUGAGUUGGGAUUGAACCCAUACAGACUGGCUCCAGAGUCUCCUGAUACCAAAUGGGAGCCCAGCCCCAGGACUAGGAGGAGAGUUCAUAGCUGAGUGGUGGGAAGCUGGAUUUUGCAGUCUGGACCUUGAGACUUCAGACUUCACAUUAUUUCGUAGGUCGUUCAUUCAUUCAUUCCACAUAUCUGCUGGCCACUCACUCACUCACUCAUCCAUUCACUGAGUGCUAGCUCUGGGAAAAGGAGGGGUGAGAAUUAUGAUUCUGUUCUGCCCUGGCAAAAUGUGUCCUUCAGGGCUCAGCUCAGGUGCCACCUCCUCCAGGAAGCCUUCUCUGAUUUCCUCUGCAGAGGCUCCUGGGCUUCCCUCAGUAUUAUCUUCCCCCUGCGCCUGCUUCCCUCUCUAGUAGGGCAGUGCUUUAGUCUCUGAAUUCUUGGUAUACCAUGGGUGCUCAAUAAAAGCUUGAUGAAGCAACUUGUUGCUGCUGGGCCUCCUCCUGGGUACUGCCAGCACCCUGCUCUCUGCUGCUUCCUCUCCUCACUCCAGCCAGGAUGCUCCAGUGUCUGGGCACACUCCCCAAAAGACUUUCCCAUCCUGCUGGUGAGUGGAAACUCCCCAGGCACUGGUUCCAGCCAGGGGCCAUGAUCAGCAGGGGUGGGAUUCACCCCUGCCUCGGGAGGGAGGGAACUGGGCCCGCCCUAGCUCAGCAACCAACAGCAGCCUCUUCCUUUGCUGGCUAAAUGUUUGUUUUCAAAUUCCUGAGGCCCGCAUCACCUCUCACCCCUGUCCCCACUGGCCCCUGGCCUGGCUUUGCUUCCUUCCUCCCCUUACUUGACCAGGCUGGUUUGCCCUGGGGAGCUGGGCCAAGCCUGUCUCUCCUGCUGCCCACCAGCUAGGUCCCGAGCCUUGAACUGGCUGACUGGGGAACCCAGAGAUUGGGGCAUGAGACAGGGAGCUCAGGAGUCCUCCGCAGCUCCUCCGCAGAGAGUAUGGAAAGGCCAAAUCUUUUCGCUCUUCAGGGAAUCACAGGCUGGUAGCCAGAACAAGUUACUGGGUUAGUCGGGUUGGGCAGACCUAGGCCUGGCUGAGGAGGCCCAGCACAGGUCAGACCUAAUUCAAACCCUCCCCAGCUGGGAGUCUUGAACAAGUAGUGUGGUGGGUCUCAAACUUGAACUCUUGUGCCUCAGAAUCACCCAGGAACCUCGACAAAAAUACAGACUCCUGGGCCCCAUCCUCUGACUUUCUGAUUCCGUGGAUCUGAGGGAGAACCUGGGGAUCUGAAUUCAGAGCGUGCUUCCCUGGUGAUUCAGAUGCAGGAGGCCCGCACUGCUGACACACAGUGGUGAAAAGCUUGAAGAAGACAAAGCCAGGUUAGACGGACAACCAUGGGUUCUAACCCCAGCUCUACCAUGUACCUGUGCUACGACUGACCUUUGAGAACUGUACCUUCCAGUUCAGUGGGCACUGGCCACAGGUGGCUAUUUACGUUUAAAUUAAUUGAGAUGAAAUAAAAUUCAAGCCAGGUCCUCGGGGGCAUCGGCCACAAUUCCAGUUCUCAGGAGCCCCGUGUGGCUUAGUGGCCACCAUAUGGCACAGAGCAGAUAUAGAACACUGCCAUCCAGCCAUCCCUCCAUCCACAGAAAGUUCUCUUGGACGGCACUGUUAUAGAAUGUCAGCUCCACGAGGGCAGAGAUAAUCAUUUGCUUUGUUCCCUGGUGUCCAAGAUAUACAGCAUAGUGCCUGGAACAUAGUUGGAGAUCCAUAAAUACUUUUUUAGUUGAUUUUUUAUUGUUAAAAUAUACCACGUAUAAUGAAAAAUGGACCAUCUUACCCAUCUUUAAGUAUUCAGCUCUGUGGCAUUAAGUAUAUUCACAUCGUUGUGCAACCAUCACCACUAUUCAUCUGCAGAACUUUGUCAUCAUCCCAAAGUGAAACUCUGACCCUAUGAAACAAUAAAUCGCUAUCAAUAAAUGGGUGAUCUUGGUCACCUCCCUGCCCUGAGCUUCAGCUUCCUGACCUGCAGAAUGGGUGUCAUACGAGUUCCCAUCUUGCGAGUCUGUAAAGGUUAAAUGAGAUCUAGAGCGUGUGUUUAGCACAGACCCUGACGCAGACUAAGUGCUCAUUAAAUGUUCGCUUUUGGGGCUUCCCUGGUGGCGCAGUGGUUGAGGGUCCGCCUGCCAAUGCAGUGGACGCGGGUUCGUGCCCCGGUCUGGGAAGAUCCCACAUGCCGCGGAGCGGCUGGGCCCGUGAGCCAUGGCUGCUGAGCCUGCGCGUCCGGAGCCUGUGCUCCGCAACAGGAGAGGCCACAACAGUGAGAGGCCUGCGUACCGCAAAAAAAAAAAAUGUUCGCUGUUACUGUGUUAUUGCCCCAUGGGGCAGUCUUGCCUGAGUAUCCCGCAACUCCCUGCUCUCUGAACUCUCCAUUCAAGUAGACAGAAACAGGGACCACUGUUGGUGUGAAUGACAUGGGUGUUUUUGUCUCCAGGGCAUGAGCCGCUGUUGCCUUUGUGUCCUCAGCCAGGCUAGCUACCCUGAUGACCGUCACUUCCAGCUGCUUCACCAACAGCUGUCCUGGGAGCCUGCAACACCCCCUGAAAUGCGGGCGGAGUUGGAAUAAACCCUUACAGACGAUGUCAAAGUACAGAUGGGAAGGCUGAGGCCCAAGGUCACAUAGGAAGGCAGAGGCAGAGCCACCGCUCAGAGCAGGAAUGCUGAUCCCAGUCUUUUCAAGACACUA
Orcinus orca (killer whale) is the source of this 6230-nucleotide long non-coding RNA. RefSeq lists it as uncharacterized. The transcript has 3 exons. The record is from RefSeq and is a predicted model, not a curated record. Lineage: Eukaryota; Metazoa; Chordata; Mammalia; Artiodactyla; Delphinidae.